This 253-nucleotide ribosomal RNA is filed under the name uncultured bacterium. RNAcentral's name for it is "partial 16S ribosomal RNA". It matches the Rfam family "Bacterial small subunit ribosomal RNA", at positions 524 to 776 of the family's 1533-position model. The record is from RNAcentral.
UACGUAGGAUCCGAGCGUUGUCCGGAAUUACUGGGUGUAAAGGGCGUGUAGGUGGGCCUGCAAGUCGGUGGUGAAAUCCUGCAGCUUAACUGCAGAACUGCCUCCGAGACUGUUGGUCUUGAGUGCGGCAGAGGGAGAUGGAAUUCAUGGUGUAGCGGUGAAAUGUGUAGAUAUCAUGAAGAACACCGGUGGCGAAGGCGGUCUCCUGGUCCGUAACUGACACUGAGGCGCGAAAGCGUGGGGAGCAAACAGG